AAACUGUCUACGCUCAGUCACUAUUGAUCGUUUCAUGCUGUAAGAAGUGUUUACAAAUAAUAUCCGUACACGUUUGUUGGUGAAAAUAAGAUACGGUGUUGGCUACUCGAGGCAUCUAAUUUUGAAUAAUUUCAAGAUAAAUUAUAGUAACGAAGCGAUGGAAAGCAGAAAGGAUUUAGUUAGCAUUAAAGAAGAGCCUCGUGACAAUUGGGAAGAUGUUGCCAACGAGAGUGUCGAUCCGGGGGUCUCGGUCAAAACCGAAAACUCUGAUGAAUCAUCGGCAAAUCCCACCAAU
This is a long non-coding RNA of Trichogramma pretiosum, 295 nucleotides long. RefSeq lists it as uncharacterized. The record is from RefSeq and is a predicted model, not a curated record. The transcript is spliced from 3 exons. NCBI's taxonomy places the organism in Eukaryota, Metazoa, Arthropoda, Insecta, Hymenoptera, Trichogrammatidae.